Molecule: non-coding RNA, 3753 nt
Organism: Manis javanica (Malayan pangolin)
Lineage: Eukaryota; Metazoa; Chordata; Mammalia; Pholidota; Manidae
Source: RefSeq, a predicted model, not a curated record
GAACAAUUUGCCUUCAUGUGGGAAGGGCGGCAAUGGGCUCUCACUGUCCUUCCACAGGGAAACCUCCACAGCCCACCGUCUGUCAUGGACUUGUAGCCCAGGACUUGGCAGCACCGGAGAAACCAUCAACAGUGCAGCUGUUCCAUUAUAUUGAUGAUAUGCUAAUGUCUGGUUCUCUUUCAGAUCUAGAAGGCGCAGCACCUAGGCUGCUGCAACAUGUACAGCAGAAAGGAUGGGCUGUCAACAGCACCAAGAUUCAGGGACCUGAUUUGUCAGUCAAAUUCUUGGGGGUUGCCUGGUUGGGGAAGACUGAAGUUACCCCAGAAGCAGUCAUAGAUGAAGUCCAGGCCUUCCCUAUCCCUGCAAUGUGGCGUUGUUACAGGAGUUUUGAGUCUUUCAGGCUACUCGAGUGUUUAUCUUGCACUUGGCACAAGUUCUGAAGCCCUUAAACUGUUUCGUUUAUAAGAGCAUCGGGUGGGACUGGGAUGAGACAUUUGUGUCUGCUUCUACCGCUUCGAGGAAACUCCACCCGCCGCCGGUACCCGCCGCGGUCAGAGCCGUCGCGACCACACACCGCGUCUCCUCGCGGGUCCUCGAGCGAAGGCGACGGGUGGCCCUCCACAGAGAUUCUUGAGAUCGGAGUCGCAGAGAGCGCCGCAUUUGCAGAACACGUCCUCAAUGUCCUUGCUUUGCAUGUCUGGAGAGAGUGGUGUGCUAACGUGGAUACAUCCGUUUGGUCAUCCAUUCUCCUACUGAUGAACAUUUGAGUUUUUCCAGUUAAGUUCCCCCAGAUAACAGGUAGUUUUUCCUUGCACUGACCCUGAAGCCUCCUAGAAGACUGCAUUUUAAAGCCCAGGCACCUCUUCAGUUCCAGGGUCCUCUGGGUUUUGCUGCUUGAUCCUGUAUGGAUCUUGGGAAGCAGCUGAUGGGACAUCUUUCUCCACUGUCGCGGCUGUCUGUACCUGACCCAGAGAGCAUUCCCUCCAAAGGCGAGGAUGAAUUCCACCACACCUGUGACAUUUCAGCCCAUGAGGAGACCGCUGCGCAUAGGAAGGACACCUCACUGGCACGGAAAGAAUCUCAGCUUUCCUGGGGCUCCGAUCAGCAGAUGGGCUCUGGCAAGGACCCGGGGGCCAUCUUCUAUGCCUCACUUGCCCCCCUAAAAUACUUCAGCCCUGAAGACUCCAUCUAUGUCAAUUGCCCCAGUUGGAAGCCCAAGCCUGAACCCGCUCUGGCUGUGGAAUAUGCCAGCACGGCUGGAAGCAGACCCCAGCCCUCCAAGUCGGCCACCCUCCAAGUGGAGCCCAGGAUCUGAGGGCGGAAUUCACUGGGCGGAGAGCACUUACCAAACGCCUACAGGGCACAGGGUGGCUCUACCAGCAAAGGGCUGACUGCAGUGUGGCAACAGUUGCAAACCAGCAAGGGCUCGUGCCUCCCUGCGGAGAGGGGUGGAAAGGACAGCCAAGGAAAGGAGAGCCUUACCGAUUCAGAGGGGAGAAGCUUUGAGUCUGAGGGCUGCCACGGGCAGCCUGUGGGGACCCUACAAGGGGUUUCUGGACCCUUCCUCAGGGUCUGGGAGGAAAGCCAAGGGGCCAGAGCCCACCGAGGUAGGGUCUGGGGCCCAGUGCCUCUGAUUAACCCAAUCUUCAUCUCUCUGUGACCCUCCCUUCCUUCCUGUCCAGGGCUGUGAAAUCCUGACAGAUUGUGCAAGUUGCUCUGGUGGUGACUCUCUCUGUCUGAGAGCCUCCUCCCUUCACUGUCCUCUCAGAGCCUCUAAGCCAGGCAGAGAAAGUCUGUCCCCCCACCCCGCUCCUCCUCUCCUUACAGCCCCCCAGUGCUAACUGAUUCUCACAGAUGACCCUGCCAGGAUGUGGAUGGGGGUUUCCCCUGACCCUCAGCCUCGCUGAGCAGGGCGGUGGGGUGAUUGCUUCCCUGUGGGAGCACAGCUCCGUCCUGGGCUCCUCCGCCUUCCAUGGAAACCGUGACCCACUCUGCAAACUGAGUCUCGGUCAGACACAAUGGGCUGAGGGGCACCUCCUGCUCUGCUAAAGUACACUUUCAUGGGGCCCUUCUGGAGACAGGGCCCCUUUCUGUUCUGUGCCCUAAGGGGUGUCUGAGCUCUGGGAACUCUGGAUUGUUGCAGGCAGACGGGUGGUGUCCUGCCACAUCAUGGGGAAGAUGGCUUGGAACUGCAGAUUCAUCACUUCUCAAGAGUGGCCUUAAAGGUCGUUGAAUCCAACGGGCAGUGGGGUGCCAGAACCGCCCUGUAAAAUCCCAGUGAGUCAUGCAGUCUCUGCUCUCAUCUCUCCGAGGACAGAGAACUCACUGCCUCCUACUCAAGCAGCUCAUUUGUGAAUAUUUUUGUCAGACAGGACAUUGCUUUCUCUCAGUCACAAUGAGACAUCAGCUUUGUCCAUAGGAUGGGACCGGAGGGUCAGGCUGCAGCAUGGCCCGAAAGGAAGUGAGGGGUCAGAGAGGAGAAGGGUGGGCGGGCUGGGGUCUGGCAGGCCUCUGUUUUAGGAUGAGGUCUUCCUCUGGGAGGAGGGAGAGGUAAGCACUUGUCACUUGUGACAUCUCUGCUGUCUUCAUCUACUUCCCAGGUUCCCAGGGUUGAGAAUGUGGUGUGUCCCCAGUCUGGAGCUGCAUGGGGACACCCAGGAACAACCCCCUGGGUUGGGGUGGGAAGUGGUGGCAGGGGCAGAGCAGGAUGCUCUGAGCUUCAUCUUUGUGCCUCAGGUCUCUGCCCCGUCCUCCUGCCUGAGUCCUCCUGCAGCCUGGAUCUGAUUGCUACUGGCUGGGCAAUUGCUGCACCCUGGCCUCCCACCCAACAGGACCUUGCUCUGAGGUCAUUGGCAUUGAACUACUGCAUCAUUUGACUGCUGGUGCUUUGUAAUUCUAGGCUCCUGACAGAAUCUUUUAGGGUUCCUGGACCCAAUUCCAUGUGUGGAGUUGGGGUGCACAGGUUCCCCACACAGGACACCAAGCAAUUCUCCAGCACCAGCAGGGUGUCUGAGACUGCAACUCAGUUCUGACCCUACCUGCCUGGAGACAGCACCAGAUUCCCCAGGUGAAGGGCUCUGUUCUUGCCCGUCACAAGCCCCAGGCUGUUACCUGUGCUUCUGACCAACCAGCUACAGAUUGGAGGUUCCCACGACCUCCCACUAGGUUCUAUUACUUUGCUAGAGCUGCUCACAUAACUCAGGAAGACACUUAUGUUUACCUGUUUAACAAAGGAUACUGUAAAGGAUACAAAUUAACAGCCAGAGGAAGAGCUAUAUAGGGCAAGAGCCCAAUUAAAGGAGCCUCUAUGCUCAUGGAGCUUGGGGCCUGGCUCAGUAGCACUUGGAAACGUUCUGUUUCCCCAAGGGUGGGAGCUCUCUGAUAAGGAAACAGGGUAAGAAAGGGCCAAAACGCUGUUCUCAUGGGUUUUCAUGAGGGCUUCAUUGCAUAGCUAUGAUGGACUAAGUCACUGACCACAGGCUGGCCCAACCUCCAGCCCCUCUUCCUUCUUCGCUCCCUGGAGGCUGGGGCCUGGGGGCUGCGAGGUCCCUCCCUUUAAUCACAUGGCUGGUCCCCCUGGUAACCAGCCCUGCCCUUGGGUGGGCUCCAAAGGUCAGCUUCAUCAAUAACAAGACACCCAUUGCACCUUUGUGGCUCUGAAGUAUUUUCAGGAACUGAGCCUGAAGACCAGAUAUCUAAGAAAUAUAUUUCUGUCAUCUGAAUCACCAAAUAUAUAUUUCUUACCAAUCAUUA